GUGAAAUUGUUGAAAGGGAAACGAUUGAAGUCAGUCGUGCUGGCGCGAAAUCAACCUUCUCGUCUUGAGAUCACAUGGCGUGGCGAGCCUCAAAACCGUCACGAAGCGUGAACUCUUGGUGAAAUGGAGCACUUUCGUGUCCGCUGGUUAACAUCAAUUUCGAACGUCAUAAAAAGGCUAAAGGGGAUGUGGCUCCUUCGGGAGUGUUAUAUAACCUUUAGCGGAAUGUGGUGGCCGGGAUUGAGGUUUGCAACGAAUACCUUUAGGGCUGCUCAAACUGGUCUGGUCACUCCUCUUUAGUUAUCAUAUAUAUGGUGCGUUCCGCUAAUUUAGGGGUGGUUAGUCAGGUGGUGCAAAUUCGUUAAGGAUGUUGACGUAAUGGCUUUAAACGAC
Molecule: ribosomal RNA, 393 nt
Filed under: uncultured Entrophospora
Lineage: Eukaryota; Fungi; Glomeromycota; Glomeromycetes; Entrophosporales; Entrophosporaceae
Description: uncultured Claroideoglomus partial 28S ribosomal RNA
Source: RNAcentral